RNAcentral lists this small RNA (670 nucleotides) under Pongo abelii (Sumatran orangutan). Its description in RNAcentral is "processed transcript". The record is from RNAcentral. Lineage: Eukaryota; Metazoa; Chordata; Mammalia; Primates; Hominidae.
ACUCACUUCCUUUCUUUCAGUGGCCUCCAGGAUGAUCUGGAAGGGUCACCCUGUCCAACGUGUCCGAGCGGAAAGACAACAUGCGCCUUGGCCUUAGUCUCGCCACCAACCCCAAGGACAACAGCUUCCUGGCCUGCAGCCCCCUCUGGUCUCACGAGUGUGGGAGCUCCUACUACACCACAGGGAUGUGUUCAAGAGUCAACUCCAACUUCAGGUUCUCCAAGACCGUGGCCCCAGCUCUCCAAAGGUGCCAGACCUACAUGGACAUCGUCAUCGUCCUGGAUGGCUCCAACAGCAUCUACCCCUGGGUGGAGGUUCAGCACUUCCUCAUCAACAUCCUGAAGAAGUUUUACAUUGGCCCAGGGCAGAUCCAGGUUGGAGUUGUGCAGUAUGGAGAAGAUGUGGUGCAUGAGUUUCACCUCAAUGACUACAGGUCUGUAAAAGAUGUGGUAGAAGCUGCCAGCCACAUUGAGCAGAGAGGAGGAACAGAGACCCGGACAGCAUUUGGCAUUGAAUUUGCACGCUCUGAGGCUUUCCAGAAGGGCGGAAGGAAAGGGGCCAAGAAGGUGAUGAUUGUCAUCACAGAUGGGGAGUCCCACGACAGCCCAGACCUGGAGAAGGUGAUCCAGCAAAGCGAGAGAGACAACGUAACAAGAUAUGCGGUGGCUGU